Molecule: ribosomal RNA, 491 nt
Filed under: uncultured bacterium
Lineage: Bacteria
Description: partial 16S ribosomal RNA
Rfam family: Bacterial small subunit ribosomal RNA
Source: RNAcentral
AGUGAACGCUGGCGGUAGGCCUAACACAUGCAAGUCGAACGGCAGCACAGUAAGAGCUUGCUCUUACGGGUGGCGAGUGGCGGACGGGUGAGGAAUACAUCGGAAUCUACUUUUUCGUGGGGGAUAACGUAGGGAAACUUACGCUAAUACCGCAUACGACCUACGGGUGAAAGCAGGGGAUCUUCGGACCUUGCGCGAUUGAAUGAGCCGAUGUCGGAUUAGCUAGUUGGCGGGGUAAAGGCCCACCAAGGCGACGAUCCGUAGCUGGUCUGAGAGGAUGAUCAGCCACACUGGAACUGAGACACGGUCCAGACUCCUACGGGAGGCAGCAGUGGGGAAUAUUGGACAAUGGGCGCAAGCCUGAUCCAGCCAUACCGCGUGGGUGAAGAAGGCCUUCGGGUUGUAAAGCCCUUUUGUUGGGAAAGAAAAGCAGCAGGUUAAUACCCCGCUGUUCUGACGGUACCCAAAGAAUAAGCUCCGGCUAACUUCGU